UGGGGAAUAUUCCACAAUGGGCGAAAGCCUGAUGCAGCGACGCCGCGUGAGGGAUGACGGCCUUCGGGUUGUAAACCUCUUUCAGUAGGGACGAAGCGCAAGUGACGGUACCUGCAGAAGAAGCACCGGCUAACUACGUGCCAGCAGCCGCGGUAAUACGUAGGGUGCGAGCGUUGUCCGGAAUUACUGGGCGUAAAGAGCUCGUAGGCGGUUUGUAACGUCGUCUGUGAAAUCCUAGGGCUUAACCCUGGACGUGCAGGCGAUACGGGCUGACUUGAGUACUACAGGGGAGACUGGAAUUUCUGGUGUAGCGGUGGAAUGCACAGAUAUCAGGAAGAACACCGAUGGCGAAGGCAGGUCUCUGGGUAGUAACUGACGCUGAGGAGCGAAAGCAUGGGUAGCGAACAGG
This 409-nucleotide ribosomal RNA is filed under the name bacterium. Its description in RNAcentral is "partial 16S ribosomal RNA". It matches the Rfam family "Bacterial small subunit ribosomal RNA", at positions 355 to 776 of the family's 1533-position model. The record is from RNAcentral.